CUACGGGGGGCAGCAGUGGGGAAUAUUGCACAAUGGGGGGAACCCUGAUGCAGCAACGCCGCGUGGAGGAUGACGCAUUUCGGUGUGUAAACUCCUUUUAUAUGUCAAGAAAAUGACGGUAGCAUAUGAAUAAGCACCGGCUAACUCCGUGCCAGCAGCCGCGGUAAUACGGAGGGUGCAAGCGUUACUCGGAAUCACUGGGCGUAAAGGACGCGUAGGCGGGUUGGAAAGUCAGGUGUGAAAUCCUACAGCUUAACUGUAGAACUGCACUUGAAACUUCUAAUCUAGAGUAUGGGAGGGGGAGAUGGAAUUAGUGGUGUAGGGGUAAAAUCCGUAGAUAUCACUAGGAAUACCUAAAGCGAGGGCGAUCUCCUGGAACAUUACUGACGCUAAGGCGUGAAAGCGUGGGGAGCAAGCAGGAUUAGAUACCCGGGUAGUC
RNAcentral lists this ribosomal RNA (439 nucleotides) under uncultured bacterium. RNAcentral's name for it is "partial 16S ribosomal RNA". It matches the Rfam family "Bacterial small subunit ribosomal RNA", at positions 339 to 795 of the family's 1533-position model. The record is from RNAcentral.